UUUUUUUUGUCUAUCUU
This 17-nucleotide small RNA is filed under the name Arabidopsis thaliana (thale cress). RNAcentral describes it as "ATSL005290". The record is from RNAcentral. Lineage: Eukaryota; Viridiplantae; Streptophyta; Magnoliopsida; Brassicales; Brassicaceae.